GGGGGUGUCCUGGCUUCGACGGGGGUCGCAAAGUCGACUGGCGCAUGCCGAGGGGGCGACUGUCCUCGUUAAUCCAGUAGCAAACUUUAGUUGCCAACGACGACAACUACGCUCUCGCCGCUUAAGGCGUAAGCCCCGAACCCACUUGUGCCCGUGCUCGUGGAUGUAGGGUCAUUAUCACGGAACCAGCUGGGGCGGCGACCCGCCAACCCCAGCCUAAACUUAGCGGGUGUGUCUGACGGUGUGCUUCGCACGUCGUGUUUCCGUCAGGCGAGAUCUAACGGCGAGCUAAGCAUGUAGUGCCGGAGAUGGAGUGCUCUCGGACGCGGGUUCAACUCCCGCCACCUCCACCA
RNAcentral lists this transfer-messenger RNA (353 nucleotides) under Arenimonas oryziterrae. Its description in RNAcentral is "Standard tmRNA". It matches the Rfam family "transfer-messenger RNA". From Rfam's summary of the family: Bacterial tmRNA, also known as 10Sa RNA or SsrA, is named for its dual tRNA and mRNA-like properties. Lineage: Bacteria; Pseudomonadati; Pseudomonadota; Gammaproteobacteria; Lysobacterales; Lysobacteraceae. The record is from RNAcentral. RNAcentral also lists the same sequence under 1 other name.